UGGAGACAUAGCUGGGGAGUCCAGUAGACCUCAGAAUGGGUGAUUAGUCAGAUUUGCGCAGAGUCCAGAGUCACCUCAUAUCUGCAGUGCACUUAGUAGGAUAUUAAGAUUUUGGGUUAUAUUUUGUACUUUGCAUUUUGUACUAGUUUUGAUUGUAAUUACAAACUCAUGAAAUCAUAUGAUAAUGUAAAUAUAUGAAAUUACAUGUUACUGUAAUUAUCAACACAUUUUGUUGAAAAAUAAAAUGUUGGGGAGUUA
Molecule: unclassified non-coding RNA, 258 nt
Filed under: Hevea brasiliensis (rubber tree)
Lineage: Eukaryota; Viridiplantae; Streptophyta; Magnoliopsida; Malpighiales; Euphorbiaceae
Source: RNAcentral